RNAcentral lists this ribosomal RNA (602 nucleotides) under Argulus japonicus. RNAcentral describes it as "SSU rRNA". It matches the Rfam family "Eukaryotic small subunit ribosomal RNA", at positions 565 to 1157 of the family's 1831-position model. Lineage: Eukaryota; Metazoa; Arthropoda; Ichthyostraca; Arguloida; Argulidae. The record is from RNAcentral.
UCCAAUUCAGCAGCCCCGCGGUAAUUCCAGCUCCAAUAGCGUAUAUUAAAGUUGCUGCGGUUAAAAAGCUCGUAGUUGGAUCCCAGUUGCAGACGGGCGGUCCGCCUCAUGGCGGUUCACUGCCCCGUUCUCGACAUACCUCCGGUUAUAUUUGUCCCGCGAUGCUCUUUACCGGGUGUCGCGGGGGGCCGGUACGUUUACUUUGAAAAAAUUAGAGUGCUCAAAGCAGGCGAUGGCCAGAAUAAUGGUGCAUGGAAUAAUGGAAUAGGACCUCGGUUCUAUCUUGUUGGUUCUUCGGAACACGAGGUAAUGAUUAAUAGGGACGGACGGGGGCAUUCGUAUUGCGACGUUAGAGGUGAAAUUCUUGGAUCGUCGCAAGACGAACUACUGCGAAAGCAUUUGCCAAGAAUGUUUUCGUUAAUCAAGAACGAAAGUUAGAGGUUCGAAGGCGAUCAGAUACCGCCCUAGUUCUAACCAUAAACGAUGCCAACCAGCGAUCCGUCGGCGUUACUUCGAAUGACCCGACGAGCAGCUUCCGGGAAACCAAAGUUUCUGGGUUCCGGGGGAAGUAUGGUUGCAAAGCCGAAACUUAAAGGAAUGAC